RNAcentral lists this ribosomal RNA (652 nucleotides) under uncultured fungus. RNAcentral's name for it is "eukaryotic LSU rRNA". The stretch from base 216 to 370 matches the Rfam family "5.8S ribosomal RNA". The record is from RNAcentral. Lineage: Eukaryota; Fungi.
GGAAGGAUCAUUACCGAAUUGUCAACAAGAGUUGUUGCUGGCCCCUGUACGGGGGCAUGUGCACGCUCUGUUUACACAUCCACUCACACCUGUGCACCCUCUGUAGUUCUAUGGCCUGGGGGGCUCUGUCCUCCUGUGCUGUGGUUCUACGUCUUUACACACACACUGUAAUAAAGUCUUAUGGAAUGUACGUCGCGUUUAACGCAAUGAAAUACAACUUUCAGCAACGGAUCUCUUGGCUCUCGCAUCGAUGAAGAACGCAGCGAAAUGCGAUAAGUAAUGUGAAUUGCAGAAUUCAGUGAAUCAUCGAAUCUUUGAACGCACCUUGCGCCCUUUGGCUAUUCCGAAGGGCAUGCCUGUUUGAGUAUCAUGAACACCUCAACUCUCACGGCUUGCCUGUGAUGAGCUUGGACUUUGGGGGUCUUGCUGGCCUGUGGUCGGCUCCUCUCGAAUAAAUUAGCUCGCCGGUGUUUGGUGGGGUCACAGGUGUGAUAACUAUCUACGCUUGCGGUUUUCCACCGGGUAACCUUCAGCAAUGGAGGUUCACCGGAGCUUACAAAUGUCUCUCCUCAGUGAAGACAGAUUUUGACCGUUUGAUCUCAAAUCAGGUAGGACUACCCGCUGAACUUAAGCAUAUCAAUAAGCGGAGGAA